This 216-nucleotide long non-coding RNA is filed under the name Mytilus galloprovincialis (Mediterranean mussel). The record is from RNAcentral. Lineage: Eukaryota; Metazoa; Mollusca; Bivalvia; Mytilida; Mytilidae.
GAUAUGCCGAAUCUAACUGUCAUGACUGUGUAUGUAGAUUCUUAACUUUUGGUCCCGUUUUCAAAUUGGUCUACAUUAAGGUCCAAAGGGUCCAAAAUUAAACUUAGUUUGAUUUUGACAAAAAAUGAAUAAGUUAGGUUCUUUGAUAUGCUGAAUCUAAAAAUGUACUUAGAUUCUUAAUUAUUGGCCCAGUUUUCAAGUUGGUCCAAAUCGGGG